GGUAGGUUGCCAGGUUAAGGAAAUAAAAAUGCAGGGCAGCCAGUUCAAGCUGAAUUUCAGACCGUGCAUGUUAACUAGAUGUCCUGUAUUUACUGUGGCAACCUUACCCCCAGGGGACAUUUGGCAAUGUCUGGAGGCAGUUUUGGUUGUCACUGGGGAUGGUUAGGUGCUACCAGCAUCUGGUGGGAAGGCACCGGGGGUGCUUUUAAACAUUUCACAAUGCAUAGGACAGCUGAGGCCAAAAAAAAAAAAAAAAAUUAUCCAGCCUAAAAUGUCAGUUGUAACAAGGGUGAGAACCCCUGUAUUAAAUGAAAGAUAGCAAAAACCCCAUAAGAACCCCAUAAGAUAUGGUAGGAUCUCAUUUGUACGUCCUGUAUUUACUCUGGCAACCCUACCCCCAGGGGACAUUUGGCAAUGUCUGGGGUUGUUACUGCGGAUGGGGUUGUGUGUGUGUGUGUUUCUUUUUUUCUUUUUACACACCCAACUAAGCCAUAGAAUCGCAUAGAAAAAGGUAUGGAAGGUCACAUACCUAAGUCAUGUGGGGUAGGGAGUGGUCAUUCCUUUUACUCUAAAUACCUUCUGCAGUGUUUUAUUAUUUGUGAAGUUAAUUAUAACUGAAGUGAAUAUAUACGUGUAUACACACACACACAGAAAGCAUGCCUAUCAAAACAAUAGAUAUUUCACAAAGUGAACACACCCAUGGCAUGGCCUCCUGAUGAAGAUGAAGAACAUGGCCACUGCUCCAUGAGGCCCUUUGCAGUCCUGCCAGCCUCUCCCUCGAGGGCUGCGAGGGGAACUGCUGUCCUGACUUCCAACCUGCUUUGGGCUCCACAUGAACCGAAUUCUGCCCGACGUCCUCGCUUGAGACUGGCGUCUUUCCCUCAGCAACGUGUCAUGAUUCAUUCAUGUGGAUCGGAGCAGCGGUUGGAUCAUUUUCAUUGCUGUGAAAUACACCACAAUGGAUUUAUGCAUUCAACCGUUGAUGGACAUUUGGGUCGUUUCCCGUUUGGCAAGAUGAUGAAGAAAGCUGCCGCAGAACCAGAUAGAGCUGGGGACUCACGACCCGUGCUGACGACUGGAUGCAAGAGGAGGAAGGACUUUGGUGGAGAGAAGGAAUCAAAAGGAACCAAGAAUGUGAGACAAGAGGACUUGCUGGUGGGGUCCCCUGCUGUGUCCCCAGAGUCCCAGCAUGUGCCUGACACACAGCAGGUGCCUGAUUGAUAGUGACGGUUCCCCAAAGGCUGCUGGAGUCACCUCUGGGAUUCUGCACAGGCUCCACCCUCUGGGGAGGUGUGCUUGGUAGAGGACACGAAGGCUGCUUGUUGGGGUUACCUUAGUACCUGGGUGAAGAGUAAAAAGUAAUUAAUAAUAACGAAAGAAAA
This is a long non-coding RNA of Homo sapiens (human), 1382 nucleotides long. NCBI's taxonomy places the organism in Eukaryota, Metazoa, Chordata, Mammalia, Primates, Hominidae. The record is from Ensembl.